GGACCCAGGAUGGUUUAGAGAAAUAUUGGUAAUUACGACACAUGGAUUCUGGUUUCAACUUGCUCUUUGAACUGGGGAAAUGUACUUCACUUUGACUAUACCAUUUUCCCACCUGAAAUAAAUGAGUGUGGCACCAGAUCACUUAGCCUCAAGCCUUGAUGUACAUCAGAGUUAUUUGAGGCAAUGUGUUAAAAUGCACAAUCCAGGGCUCUACCCUGCAGAGAAUGAUUCAGAUGUCAGAAGGAGCAGUGUUCUAGGCUAUUCUGGUGCCUGGGCCCUCGGAACACACUUUGAGGAACUGUGAACUGAAUGAUACUUCACACUUCCCCUCUGUGGUUCUGGCACUCUUAAACACAGCACAGUCUCCAGCUUUAAUACUCAGCCUUCUGUAGAAGUCAGAAUAUGGUGUAGCCUCCUCAUUCAACCUUUAAGUCUUAGGGAGCUUUCCAUGGUUCUGAAGUCAGUUCCUGGGCUCUGUGAGUGAGCAGCUCUGGGUGGCACCUUCUGGGUGGCUGUUCCUUCACAAAGGGAGAUCAAAUCAACUGUAAGGUCUCUUCCUCCUGUGCUGAAGUUGUCUCAGCCUUCCCUCUGCUUGGUGAAAGAAGAAAGCUGCGUUCUUGUUUCCGUGCCAAGUUGCCAGUGCCCUGGUUUCCAUGACAGCAGAGAAGAAUGGAAGCCAGGCUCUCACCUCAAAGGAAUUAAAGCCCACCCUCUUGGAGAACAAACAAUGAUUCCAAGAGAGUUCUGGAAAUUGGAGACUGUUUGUUUUGAUUCAUCCAGCUGCACAGUAUGGGGCUCUAGGAAGGAGAAGGUGGUCUCAUGAGGUUGCCGUCAGAGUGUGAACUGGAGCUGGGCUGUGGCUGGGGCUCUCUCACAUGGCUGUCAGCAGAACUCAGGUCCUCAGCGUAUGGAAGCCUCCGUAAGGCUGAUUGAGCAUCUUCAUGACAUGGCGGCUGACUUCCCCAGAACAAGUGAUUCAAGAGAGAACAAGAUCCAUUCUUCAACUCCAUGAGACAAGAACCAAGCUCUCCUGCAUCAUUUUGAUGCCGAAACCUGGGAUCAGUCCCAGCAAAGGAUCUUUGGUGCAUCACUAUGAACAAGAUAACCUCAUGGGGGAAACGGGAUUUAUGAUACACAGCAAAAUCUCUCAGUCCUCUCUCCCUGAAGGACGGUCUGUGCAACAGCAGCAUCUGAAAUUGUCAGAAAUUCAGAAUCUCCGGCCCCCCCUCAGGCCUGUAAACCCAAAUCUGCAUUUUAACACGAUCCCCAGGCCCUGGGCCAGCCAGCACUUUCUGUACCUCUUCUUCAUUUCUCACAGAAGCUCCUUGAGAUUCAAGCAAUUUCCCCCCAGAGAAGCGCUGCUGCGUGGUGCUGUCUGUGGUGCUGAAGUGGACCUGUCCUCCUAGCUCGGCCCUUAUAGCCUGUCCAAAUCUCAGCCUCUCUCGAUCCCACUUUGAUCCCUGUUCCUGAUUUCACCUCAGACUAUUGUACUUAGCAUUAUGCAACAUCAGAGUGGGAAUAUCAAACCGAGGCCUCAAGAGCUCAGGUUUAGCAUUGCAAUAAAAGAAUACCUUGCAAUAGAACAUCAUUACUUGCAGCUUAUGAAGUGCAGGUAUCAUUUACCUUGGGCCCUCCCUGCCCAGGACAACAUGGCCAAUGACAUUUUGCCAUCUGAGGAUUGUUAAUGGAGUUGCCCCCUGAUUGAGAAGCUCCGUGACGCAUCUUGUCCUUAAUCAUGUGGACACUAGAAAGAAAAGGACUUAGAAGAUUUGCUUCUGUGUCGCUCAGGGCAGCUGGGGUGAGCAAGCCCUCACUGGGUGCCCUGGGGUUAGAUGGCCUGUCUGCCAAGAAGUUAAUUGAUUCUUUAGGUUAACACUAUUUUGUGUGCACAGACAAAUCUGGGCAUCCAUUCUGCUUAAUGUGAUGCUGAGAGUUUCCUGUGAGUUCUACAGAUCCUGGCUCUAACUUAUGACUUCAUGGAACUCUGCUCUGUGAAGCCACUGAUUUCUUUGUGAAACCAUUGAUUUAAAAAAAAUGAAUUCAA
This is a long non-coding RNA of Canis lupus familiaris (dog), 2044 nucleotides long. RefSeq lists it as uncharacterized. The record is from RefSeq and is a predicted model, not a curated record. The transcript is spliced from 6 exons. Lineage: Eukaryota; Metazoa; Chordata; Mammalia; Carnivora; Canidae.